Long non-coding RNA from Salvelinus sp. IW2-2015, 261 nucleotides. RefSeq lists it as uncharacterized. The record is from RefSeq and is a predicted model, not a curated record. NCBI's taxonomy places the organism in Eukaryota, Metazoa, Chordata, Actinopteri, Salmoniformes, Salmonidae.
UGUCCCCACUCUCUCUCUCUCUUGCUCUCACUCUCGCUUUCUGUCUGUCUUUAUUUGAACACAGUACUGCCAUGGAUGCUGACUGCUCUGGCAGUUGGAAGUGUCUUUCUGUGGGGAGCUGUAAUGUGUGUACGCAGAAUAAGUUGCAGAGAGAGACCAAAGGCCAGCUCUAAUCUCCCCACUUUGGAUAUCCCUCUAAGGCAACCUGACAUGUCAGAGUCCCUAAGGUACAGCAAUCCCCAAAAGUAACAUAUGAUAACC